Molecule: transfer RNA, 61 nt
Filed under: Ruidocollaris obscura
Lineage: Eukaryota; Metazoa; Arthropoda; Insecta; Orthoptera; Tettigoniidae
Description: tRNA-Ser
Source: RNAcentral
GAAAUGUUAAUCAAUUAAAGCUGCUAACUUUAUAUUUAACGAUUAAUCUCGUUGCAUUUCU